GAUGAAGAACGCAGCGAAAUGCGAUAAGUAGUGUGAAUUGCAGAAUUCAGUGAAUCAUCGAAUCUUUGAACGCACAUUGCGCCCCUUGGUAUUCCAUGGGGCAUGCCUGUUCGAGCGUCAUUUGUACCUUCAAGCUCUGCUUGGUGUUGGGUGUUUGUCUCGCCUCCGCGUGUAGACUCGCCUCAAAACGAUUGGCAGCCGGCGUAUUGAUUUCGGAGCGCAGUACAUCUCGCGCUUUGCACUCACAACGACGGCGUCCAGAAGUACAUUUUUACACUCUUGACCUCGGAUCAGGUAGGGAUACCCGCUGAACUUAAGCAUAUCAAUAAGCGGAGGA
Molecule: unclassified non-coding RNA, 337 nt
Filed under: soil metagenome
Description: partial contains 5.8S ribosomal RNA, internal transcribed spacer 2, and large subunit ribosomal RNA
Rfam family: 5.8S ribosomal RNA (bases 1-120)
Source: RNAcentral